UACGAGGGGGGCGAGCGUUGUUCGGAAUUAUUGGGCGUAAAGGGUGCGUAGGCGGUUUGGUAAGUCUGAUGUGAAAUCUAUGGGCUCAACUCAUAGUCUGCAUCGGAAACUGCCGGGCUUGAGUAUGGGAGAGGUGAGUGGAAUUCCUGGUGUAGCGGUGAAAUGCGUAGAUAUCAGGAGGAACACCUGUGGCGAAGGCGGCGUCCUGGCCUGCGACUGACGCUGUGGCGCGAAAGCUAGGGGAGCGAACGGG
Molecule: ribosomal RNA, 253 nt
Filed under: uncultured bacterium
Lineage: Bacteria
Description: partial 16S ribosomal RNA
Rfam family: Bacterial small subunit ribosomal RNA
Source: RNAcentral